UACGGAGGGGGCUAGCGUUGCUCGGAAUCACUGGGCGUAAAGCGCACGUAGGCGGGUUCUUAAGUCAGGGGUGAAAUCCUGGAGCUCAACUCCAGAACUGCCUUUGAUACUGGGAAUCUCGAGUCCGGGAGAGGUGAGUGGAACUGCGAGUGUAGAGGUGAAAUUCGUAGAUAUUCGCAAGAACACCAGUGGCGAAGGCGGCUCACUGGCCCGGUACUGACGCUGAGGUGCGAAAGCGUGGGGAGCAAACAGG
RNAcentral lists this ribosomal RNA (253 nucleotides) under uncultured bacterium. Its description in RNAcentral is "partial 16S ribosomal RNA". It matches the Rfam family "Bacterial small subunit ribosomal RNA", at positions 524 to 776 of the family's 1533-position model. The record is from RNAcentral.